RNAcentral lists this ribosomal RNA (404 nucleotides) under Actinomycetes bacterium. RNAcentral describes it as "Actinobacteria bacterium partial 16S ribosomal RNA". It matches the Rfam family "Bacterial small subunit ribosomal RNA", at positions 355 to 776 of the family's 1533-position model. Lineage: Bacteria; Bacillati; Actinomycetota; Actinomycetes. The record is from RNAcentral.
UGGGGAAUAUUGGACAAUGGGCGCAAGCCUGAUCCAGCCAUGCCGCGUGAGUGAUGAAGGCCCUAGGGUUGUAAAGCUCUUUCACCGGUGAAGAUAAUGACGGUAACCGGAGAAGAAGCCCCGGCUAACUUCGUGCCAGCAGCCGCGGUAAUACGAAGGGGGCUAGCGUUGUUCGGAUUUACUGGGCGUAAAGCGCACGUAGGCGGACUAUUAAGUCAGGGGUGAAAUCCCGGGGCUCAACCCCGGAACUGCCUUUGAUACUGGUAGUCUUGAGUGCGAGAGAGGUGAGUGGAAUUCCGAGUGUAGAGGUGAAAUACGUAGAUAUUCGGAGGAACACCAGUGGCGAAGGCGGCUCACUGGCUCGAUACUGACGCUGAGGUGCGAAAGCGUGCGGAGCAAACAGG